Long non-coding RNA from Micropterus salmoides (largemouth bass), 1182 nucleotides. RefSeq lists it as uncharacterized. The transcript has 2 exons. The record is from RefSeq and is a predicted model, not a curated record. Lineage: Eukaryota; Metazoa; Chordata; Actinopteri; Centrarchiformes; Centrarchidae.
AAUCACUUCCUGUGUAACCUUUAUAUUCACCGGCGCUGCAUAACGUCGUUCCUUUUCACAGCCACCAGCCUCACACGUGAAUCUCAUGGAAAUCACUCGUCAACAGUUGUGACAGAUGUAGUGCUCUCCGCCCUCAGUGCAUGCCUCAUGGGACCAGCGCAGACAAAAGAGGCACUGCACCCACACUUCCCCAGGCAAGGAUGAGCUGAAAGUCUCCCCACACACCAGGCAAUCCUCAUUCUUGCUCUGGGUAGAUGCAGGGGCAGCAGUUGCAGUGCCUUCAUAAGAGAGCCUUUUCUUUGGAACCUUAGAUGACUUCUGGCCCCUUCGACGCUGCUCCUCCUCUAAAGCUGCUUUAACAUUAGUGUCUGUGAGGAUCGCUGUUGACCUGCAACAUUCAAUUUAAGAAUAAUGGUUAUAAACAUUUAUAACAUUUACAGGCACUUAUCAUGCUUUUAUGACUACAAUCAUGUGCUCUGAAUUAUACAUUUUGAGAAAUCGGUGUCUGUAAAAGUAUCUGGGUUUAAGGGCUAGAUGCCACUGCACUCAAAGCCAGCUAAGAUGUUACUUGAUGUGACUGCAAACGGUAGCGCUUUGGCCACAAGACUUGGAAGGUCAUAUGUUGACAGUGUCUUGCCCGGGUGUGUUCUCAUCCAGCUGUCUGCUGCGCUGUUUAUGUAGUGCUUUAGUGGACCAAAGACACUCCUGUCCAGCGGCUGGAGACGAUGGGAACAGUGUAGUCCUCCUCUCCUUCCCACCACACUAUGUGACCUGCAAAAGUCCAUGGCUGCCACGGAAAGGUAUGGUGGUUGUCUAGUAGGAGCAGCACCUUUGACUCCAGGGUCACGCGGGUGUGUCAGAAGUGCUAGAGAAAGGCAACAAAGUCUGCCUCCUGCAUCCACCCAUAGCCGCUGGCAGACCAUGCAGAACUGACGGGACCAUCCCUCACGAAGUCGUGGUACUUCUUCCUGGGGAAGAUGAAAUAUGGGGGGACAUAGUUGCCUUGUGCGUUCCCGGCCAAAGCAAUGGUGACUAAUGUCCCCCUCUCCACAGAGGUCACGGCACCGACCUGGCGCUGCCCCUUGGUGACAAUGAUUUUGUCAGGGUCUUGAACAGUUGUGGUUCCUGAAAAUAAAUGAUGAAUUUAAUGACUUGAAAUGAUUAAAUUAAUUAUGAACUUUA